GACGAACGCUGGCGGUGUGCUUAACACAUGCAAGUCGUGCGACGAACCAGACUUCGGUCUGGGGCAAAGCGGCGAACGGUGAGUAACACGUGGGUAAUCUGCCCCCGAUGACUGGGACAACCCGAGGAAACUCGGGCUAAUACCGGAUGUGGUGCCUGGACUCAAGUCCGGUCACUAAAGGUAGCUUCGGGCUUCCGCAUUGGGAGGGGCCCGCGGCCCAUUAGCUUGUUGGUGGGGUCAAGGCCUACCAAGGCAACGAUGGGUAGCUGGUCUGAGAGGACGAUCAGCCACACUGGGACUGAGACACGGCCCAGACUCCUACGGGAGGCAGCAGUGGGGAAUCUUGCGCGAUGCGCGAAAGCGUGACGCAGCAACACCGCGUGAGGGAAGACGGCCUUAGGGUUGUAAACCUCUUUCAGAUGGGACGAAGGUGAUGCGGUGAAUAGCCGAUGUCAUUGACGGUACCGUCAGAAGAAGCUCCGGCUAACUAACGUGCCAGCAGCCGCGGUAAUC
This 513-nucleotide ribosomal RNA is filed under the name uncultured bacterium. RNAcentral describes it as "bacterial SSU rRNA". It matches the Rfam family "Bacterial small subunit ribosomal RNA", at positions 28 to 525 of the family's 1533-position model. The record is from RNAcentral.